Long non-coding RNA from Oncorhynchus mykiss (rainbow trout), 3704 nucleotides. The record is from Ensembl. NCBI's taxonomy places the organism in Eukaryota, Metazoa, Chordata, Actinopteri, Salmoniformes, Salmonidae.
GUACACCGACCGUCUCCUUACCAACAUUACAACCAAAGCAGAAUCCAGACCAUGAAGGAGUAUGAUUGGACCCCCAUCCCACCCCGCGGCUGUAUCAUGGGUCAUGGGGAUGUCCCCUCCCCUACGACCAUCUACACAGACAAGGGAAUCCCCAUAUCCGUCAUCCACCCCUUCCCUUCAGACACUUCCUGCUCUGUGCAGUCCAGUCCAGCUACUGCACACAUCCAGCAGGGUUCACAAAGCCUGGCAAACGCUAGGCCCAAGUUCAACACCUUCAUCCCUCACCAUGCUGGUUUUUAUUCCCCUGGUUCAAUGUUCAAUGGACUCAAACUGUCAUAGUGUCCACCAGACAACUCCCUCAUACUCUCAUUACAGCUACUACCAGCCAACCUGUCCUGUGGGGUUUCUGUAUCAUGGCAAUCAAAACCAGGACUGGCAGAGCAGGGAAAACAAGGAGACCAAGAAGAGUGAAGUCAACUUGGACACAGUUUUCCAGAUAGUGGACGAGCUGCACCACAGUUCCCCCAAAAUACGCAUGGUCAAACUGUAAACCCCAGAGCGCCAGCAGCCGGUCCUGGCCACCUCUAUAUCAUCAGGGCCCCAGCCCACCACCAAUAUCAACAGCUCACCAUCUCUUCCCAGAUUGACUCCUCUGUCAAAUCCAGCUUCCUGCCUGGCACAAUACUGAUGGAUGCCAGCACAGUGACUCCAUGAGGGUCCAUCAUUAUCAUUAACAGUCCCGGUGAACAUUCCUUCUCAGGGAAUUGCCAUCAUGGUCGGUGGUCAUGCAGCUGAUCAGCCAGUCAAGAGGGAGGAGGAACCUUUGCCUGUCGACGCCUAUCAGAAGGUUAGCUAGCCUAGCUUAGUAAAAACAUGGUACAUGGAGGCUAUUAUUCAUCAAGAAACAAACCAGUGUACCUAAGCUCAUCGUAUAGUUUAAUAAUUUGGGGUUUAAAGAAUUUAGAAUUGUGAAUGUAAAGAGAAAGCAAAGAUACUCAGUCCGUAUUCCUUGGUAAUAAAUAUUUUUAAAAACAUGUAUCAUAUGAAUGGUUAUCAGGGAUCCUGAUGAACUCUGUUUUAUAAUAAGAGGUUGAUCAUGCUGUGAUUUAUCCCAGUGCCCUAAGGAAGCAUCCAAGUACAUCACCAAGGUGAAGGACGUAAAGGAGAUCAAGGGGGUGGAUGCAGAGGUCUUCAGUGUUGUACAUGACGUUUCAGUGUUGUACAUGACGUUUCAGUGUUGUACAUGACGUUUCAGUGUUGUACAUGACGUUUCAGUGUUGUACAUGACGUUUCAGUGUUGUACAUGACGUUUCAGUGUUGUACAUGACGUUUCAGUGUUCUACAUGACAAGUUUCAGCAUCCUGGCAGAGGCAUCUAGGUUUUUAGCUAAAAUGUCCUGGUACUGGGUAAAGUUCAUGAUACCACCACCAUAUUUUACAGUAGGUAUGGGGUUCUUUUCUGCAGAUGCAACUUUCUUUCGAUGGUGUGUGUGGCCAAAGAGCUUUAUAUCCAUGUACUCAACAAAUGUAUAUGCCUGGUGUUUGCUGAACAGCGUUGGCACUUGGAUUGCAACUACUGCUAUGGUUAGAUGAAAAUGAAAAUAAAGCUCUUUGGCCACGCGCACCAGUGAAGAGUUUUGCGUCGAAAGAACAAUGCAUAUGCAGAAAAUACCUCAUCUCUACUGUAAAAUAUGGUGGAUGUUAUGGGGCUAUUUUGCUUCUACAUGUCCUGGGGCCCUUGUUAAGAUCAACGGCAUCAUGAGAUUUACCAAAUACAAGGAGGAAAUGUUUGCCAAAAACCUAGUUUCCUCUGCCGGAGUGGAUCUUCCAGCAAGACAAUAACCCCAAUUACAUAAAUGGUUAAUUGGCCACAAAAUCAACAGUUUGCAGUGGCACUCUGUCUCCAGAAUUGAACCCAAUUUGAAAAUCUGUGGUUUGAACUGAAGAGGGCAGUCCAUGAGCACAGACAAAGGAUAUCAGGGGCCUGGAAAGAUUCUGUAUUGAGUAAUGGUUUAAGAUCCCUCUCAAUGUGUUCUCCAAUCUCAUAAAACAUUUUUAGAAAAAGGCUGUGAAAAGCAACAAAUCUAUUUUAACUUUGAGUCAUUAAAAAAAAUAUCAUCAUUAUUAUGAUUAAAAUGUGAUAUAAUUAAUUGGAUGUUUGCAUUUCAUUUAUUGCAUCAUGUAGUUCUUUAUAUGUGGCCCUCAAAGGUGGAUUGUCUACAUUCCAGAAUCUUCGAUCUAAACGAGGUCAAAAAGUGGCGCUUGGCUGUUACCAGGGUUGUCCGCUGGAGGCCGCCCGGUGCCGUCUUUAGUGUCACUGUGUAGCUCGUGCUCCACCCUCCGUAACAGGCAGUCAGCAGGUAGACAGACGGUCAAUGAAAGCCCAGGGGAGGGAGACUACGAGAGGCAGGCUUCGGGACUUCGCUUAAUGUACAGUGUCUUUUUCCAACUUUUCAAUGUUUUUUUUAUGAAGAUCAAUAACAGCGUUUUAACGACUUGCGUUCCUUCGAUUCUACAUUUUUUCUACAUGUUCAGUAUCUUCAGUAAAUUACUGGAGUUUAGCGUAUAUAUAUUUUGUCGGCAACCGCGGGAAGUAUUUCGUUUCAGAAUUGUUAUAAAUUUCAGACGUGGUACUCGGGAAAAGAGACAACUUUUUUGGAAGGUGGCAGGAAGCAAACUGGUUUUAGAUGCGUAACAACUUAAGCGGGCGAUAGACAUGUGAAUGCGUCGGCUGCAGAAAUGACACGUGAUUUCUACUGCUAAUUAAUUAACUAGUUAUAACAUGCUAUGUAAAUCAUUUCAACGGUUCCAUUGGAUUAGCUAGUUAAACAUGUCAAAAGUCCGGAAUGCUCCGUUGUCAACUUUAUUGUGGCAUUUUUGUCGAGAUUUAGUCGCUACAGAGUUUAUGAAAGUUACUAUAGCAUUUCCGUCGUUGUUAACUGUAUGGUCGACUGUCAUCUUGGAAUCAGUCUUAUCAACAUCAAUUUGACUUUGUUCAUCUCGGUUUCUGAAGUUCAACAAACCUUGCCAUUCGUUUGAAACCUAAUAGGGAUACAGUGCGGUGGGGAUAGUCUACAUUCACACAUCCAGCGUAAAGAAUAGUAGGGGGAAUUGCUUUAGAGAUACUUGUUGCAUCUGGAGUCCGUCAGCCAGAUUUUACCAUUUUUUUCCUUGCUCUGGAAAUGUGACAUGGAAUACCGGUAAAUUUGAUAAAAUGUUAAAACCAGACGUUACUGUAGCAUGUUUAUAGUGGGUUGGUCACAUAAUUAAUUAUCAACAUUGUUGCAAAAGGUUUUUUGAAAUAUUGCCAGUGGUGGAAUAUUACAAGAGCCGGUGUUUUGGAGUGUCCGGACUGAACCGACUGACAACUUCAACCUGCACGUUGAAAAUGAGAACCGGGCUACUGUUUAUCUCCUGUAAGGACUGGAGCUCGUGUUGUAUGUGAAGAGUGAAAUCAAUAACUUUUUUCAACUGGAACAAACUUUUAAAGCGGGGUAAGAAUUAACCAGAAAUCCACAAGACAUGCAUCCACAAAGACAACAUGGCAGUCAGUGAGCCUUAAAACGUUGGAUUUAACCCUGUUUUUCGAAUAGUUUUCACGGGUUUGUACAUUUUAGAACCCACAAAGGAGGACCGUUGCUGGGCCAUAUAUUUAUUGUCCUGAAUCAACUCCGGUUGUUGCUAGCUUUGAAGUCCACGAUGUGC